Non-coding RNA from Callorhinus ursinus (northern fur seal), 1860 nucleotides. The record is from RefSeq and is a predicted model, not a curated record. Lineage: Eukaryota; Metazoa; Chordata; Mammalia; Carnivora; Otariidae.
CUCUCCCUCUCUCCCUUUUCUUGAUUUUUCUCCCCCUUCCUCCCUCCCUCCUUUCCUUCCUGCAUUUUUUAAGCUAGUGCAGCCCACUGUCCCACUACUUCUAGUAUGUUCAGGCUAGGCAUGAGUUUUUAAAAGUAGGUGGAAUGAGAUCUGGGUCUCUCUGCCUCUCUCUGACACCUUUCCCUUGUUCCCACUAAAUGGGAUCCUCCUCUGCUUGUCCAGGAAUUCCCAUGCCUUUGUCCAUGCUUGUCCCCCAUUGUUUCCUGUGCUUUUUGACAGUGAAAACAUGACUUCAGCCACCUCCUUCAGAUUCAGGAAUAAAAAGUUUCCAAAAUACAUUCUCUGUAUCCAGUAUCAAGCUGUAGCUGGAAGAAAAAAAAAUACACAUAUAUGUGUGUGUGUGUGUGUGUGUGUGUGUGUGUGUAUGUUGUAUCUCUCUAUACAUGUAUUUUACCUGAAAAAAUAGGUAUAUACAUAAUUAUAAAAUAAACUUUCAAUUACAGAAUAGUUUAAGAUUUCCAGAAAAGCUGCAAAGAGAAUACAGAGAAUCCCCAUAUACCCGGAACCCGCUUCUCCUGCUAUUAUCUUACAUUAGUAUGUGACCUGGAAGAAUACUGGGGGUUUGUAAAAUGUCUCUCAAUUGGGGUUUGCCUGACGUUCUUCUAACGGCAUAACGUGUCUUGAGGAUGAAGGCCACAGGGGUAAAAUGUCGUUCUUAUUACAUUAUAUCAACAUACAUACUAUCAAUAUGAUUUAUCACUGUUGAUGUCAACCUUGAUUAUCUAGCUGAGGUUGAGUUUGCCAGAUUUCUCCACUGUAAAACUACAUUUACUCCCUUUUCCUAUUCCUUUUGGAAGCAAGUCACUAAGUACAGCCCACACUGAAGGAGGGGAAGUUAUGCUCCACUUCCUCGAGGAGAGAAUAUCUAAAAAAAUGAUUUGGAGUUCUUCUGUAUGAGAGAUGUAUUCAGCCAUUUAUCUGCAUCAGCAUGGACUCGAUCUAUUUUUAUACUUCACAUAAUAAAUAAAAUAAUAAAAUGAAAAUAAUAAUAAAUAAUAAAAGCUUUACUUUUGACUUGAUCUGUAGGUUUUUUCCUUUCGUGUGGAUGGAGCCCAUAUCCUUGAAAGGAUCUGGAGAUACUGUCCACAGCCGGGAGGACAGACCGCUCAUCAAUCACGCAAACACAGGGUACCAGGGGGCGUGGGAAACAUUUUUUACUUCUUCCCUUUGGAGGCUGGUCACCCACAAAUUCCACCCUGGAUGGACAUCCUGAAGGCUCUUCCUCUCUUGUCCAUCUUCGCCCUCAUGGUUCCUCUUAAUCUUUUCCACCCCUAUAUCCACCCACGCCUGGUAGGGAUUUGGGGGGGAACUUCAUUCUAAUUUGCAUGACAAAAUAGCGCUCAAUACAAUAAAAUAACAUUCAUACGUAUCAUAGCUCUCCUCCUAUUGCAGGUUUUCUAGGUGCACCGUUUGGGGUACUAUAAAUACAUUAUUCCUAAUCUUGACGCUAACGACAAGGUGAUUAUUAUUCCCAUUUUACAGAUGUGGAAACUGGUGUCUGAGAGUUGAAAAAAUCUCCCAAGGUUUUCCUCUACCUGCAAACUGCACUCGUCCUCAGCAGUUUCCUUCACUAGUUCCUCUCUUCUCAUCUCUUCCUAAAGUUCCUCUUUUCACUCACUUUCCUUGUGACCAUGGGCAAACCACUUGCUGUGGGCCUCAGUUGUCUGUCUUGCAAUCCUGUUGGAUGAAUUCAGUGAGAUGCAUGGAACGCCUCCCCACCGGCUUCAGUAAGGGGCAUCUGUAAUUACUGUUCAUUUCAAGAGGAUUACAUUAACUUAAUAAAAAACCUCUCUCUUUCUA